Molecule: ribosomal RNA, 464 nt
Filed under: uncultured bacterium
Lineage: Bacteria
Description: bacterial SSU rRNA
Rfam family: Bacterial small subunit ribosomal RNA
Source: RNAcentral
CCAGACUCCUACGGGAGGCAGCAGUGAGGAAUAUUGGUCAAUGGCCGAGAGGCUGAACCAGCCAAGUCGCGUGAGGGAAGACGGCCCUACGGGUUGUAAACCUCUUUUGUCAGGGAGCAAAGGGCGCCACGUGUGGCGUUUUGCGAGUACCUGAAGAAAAAGCAUCGGCUAACUCCGUGCCAGCAGCCGCGGUAAUACGGAGGAUGCGAGCGUUAUCCGGAUUUAUUGGGUUUAAAGGGUGCGCAGGCGGAAUGUCAAGUCAGCGGUAAAAUUUCGGGGCUCAACCCCGUCGUGCCGUUGAAACUGGCGUUCUUGAGUGAGCGAGAAGUAUGCGGAAUGCGUGGUGUAGCGGUGAAAUGCAUAGAUAUCACGCAGAACUCCGAUUGCGAAGGCAGCGUACCGGCGCCCAACUGACGCUGAAGCACGAAGGCGUGGGUAUCGAACAGGAUUAGAUACCCGUGUAA